This 492-nucleotide ribosomal RNA is filed under the name uncultured bacterium. Its description in RNAcentral is "partial 16S ribosomal RNA". It matches the Rfam family "Bacterial small subunit ribosomal RNA", at positions 28 to 507 of the family's 1533-position model. The record is from RNAcentral.
GGUGAACGCUGGCGGUGUGCCUAAUACAUGCAAGUCGAGCGGACGGACGAUAAGAGUUUUCUUUUGCGGUUGGCGGGGGGCGGGUGGGUGAGACGUGGAUAGCCUUCUUCUUUUUCGUGGGGGACUUCGUGGGAACAGUGAUGCUAAUGGCGAAUAUGUUCUACGGGUGAGUUCAGUAGUUAUUGGGAGUUUUGGCGUCUCUUUGAGCCGAUGCCGGAUUAGCUAGUUGGUGAGGUAAAGGCCCACCAAGGCGACGAUCCGUAGCUGACCUGAGAGGGUGAUCAGCCACACUGGAACUGAGACACGGUCCAGACUCCUACGGGAGGCAGCAGUGGGGAAUCUUCCACAAUGGGCGCAAGCCUGAUGCAGCCACACCGCGUGAGUGAAGAAGGUCUUCGGGUCGUAAAACUCUGUUAUUGGGAAAGAAAAGAAGUAUAUGAAUAUACCGCUGUCCUGACGGUACCUAAAGAAUAAGCAACGGCUAACUUCGUG